Molecule: ribosomal RNA, 253 nt
Filed under: uncultured bacterium
Lineage: Bacteria
Description: partial 16S ribosomal RNA
Rfam family: Bacterial small subunit ribosomal RNA
Source: RNAcentral
UACGUAGGGUACAAGCGUUGUCCGGAAUUAUUGGGCGUAAAGAGCUCGUAGGCGGUUUGUCGCGUCUGCUGUGAAAACUGGAGGCUCAACCUCCAGCCUGCAGUGGGUACGGGCAGACUAGAGUGCGGUAGGGGAGAUUGGAAUUCCUGGUGUAGCGGUGGAAUGCGCAGAUAUCAGGAGGAACACCGAUGGCGAAGGCAGAUCUCUGGGCCGUAACUGACGCUGAGGAGCGAAAGCAUGGGGAGCGAACAGG